Molecule: ribosomal RNA, 328 nt
Filed under: Escherichia coli
Lineage: Bacteria; Pseudomonadati; Pseudomonadota; Gammaproteobacteria; Enterobacterales; Enterobacteriaceae
Also listed under: 1 other name
Description: partial 16S ribosomal RNA
Rfam family: Bacterial small subunit ribosomal RNA
Source: RNAcentral
AAAUUGAAGAGUUUGAUCAUGGCUCAGAUUGAACGCUGGCGGCAGGCCUAACACAUGCAAGUCGAACGGUAACAGGAAGCAGCUUGCUGCUUCGCUGACGAGUGGCGGACGGGUGAGUAAUGUCUGGGAAACUGCCUGAUGGAGGGGGAUAACUACUGGAAACGGUAGCUAAUACCGCAUAACGUCGCAAGACCAAAGAGGGGGACCUUCGGGCCUCUUGCCAUCGGAUGUGCCCAGAUGGGAUUAGCUUGUUGGUGGGGUAACGGCUCACCAAGGCGACGAUCCCUAGCUGGUCUGAGAGGAUGACCAGCCACACUGGAACUGAGAC